GGCCUCAGAAAAAUCCUGGAACCAAUUGCAGCAAUGAAAUGGAAGCAGAAAGCUGCUAGGAAUCCCUUUCCAUCUUUUGUCUUGUCAGGCUUCUCUGUUUUGUUCACCUUCCUCCAUCUCCCUGUGGACUGCUGAAUACUGGCUACAUGAUAUUCCAGAGCCAGCCACAGCUUCCCAGAGUGAUCACCCAGAGAGGAUCACUGCCAGCGGUGGGACUCUGCUGCCUUUCCAACUCUUACCUCCUGAAGCCACCACCACUGCUGCUCCUCAGCUGUACCAGCUGA
This 284-nucleotide long non-coding RNA is filed under the name Canis lupus familiaris (dog). Its description in RNAcentral is "lncRNA (ENSCAFG00000045693.2, ENSCAFG00845003481.1)". Lineage: Eukaryota; Metazoa; Chordata; Mammalia; Carnivora; Canidae. The record is from RNAcentral.